GCGGAAUUGGUGGAAUUGGCAGACACGCAGGAUUUAGGUUCCUGUGCCUCAGGGCAUAAGGGUUCAAAUCCCUUAUUCCGCA
Molecule: transfer RNA, 82 nt
Filed under: Clostridiales bacterium
Lineage: Bacteria; Bacillati; Bacillota; Clostridia; Eubacteriales
Also listed under: 1 other name
Description: tRNA-Leu
Rfam family: tRNA
About the family: Transfer RNA (tRNA) molecules are approximately 80 nucleotides in length. Their secondary structure includes four short double-helical elements and three loops (D, anti-codon, and T loops). Further hydrogen bonds mediate the characteristic L-shaped molecular structure. tRNAs have two regions of fundamental functional importance: the anti-codon, which is responsible for specific mRNA codon recognition, and the 3' end, to which the tRNAs corresponding amino acid is attached (by aminoacyl-tRNA synthetases). tRNAs cope with the degeneracy of the genetic code in two manners: having more than one tRNA (with a specific anti-codon) for a particular amino acid; and 'wobble' base-pairing, i.e. permitting non-standard base-pairing at the 3rd anti-codon position.
Source: RNAcentral